GAGAAAACCAAAAAGCACUUAUAGUGUAGCAUUUAAUAAAACAUGGGAUAAAAACAGAAAAUAAAACGGGCACUCAUAAUUGAAUUACACAAUAUUGCAAGAUUGUGGAAAAAUCACAUUACCCCUGACAACUGUCCUGAGCUCUUGAGAAAGUCCAGCGUUCGGACAAAACGCGUUGAUCCAACGCAAAGUGAACUUCUGAAUAACAUUUUAAGUAAAUGGUCUAGGAGUGAAUCAAGGGGUGAAUUUCUGGCUAAUUGCAGUGAAUCCAGGACACAUUUCACCCAAAAGACCUUUAUAUCCACUUUAACAAAGACUAUCUUCUAUAGAAGCGAAUUGGGAGAACUCCUGGACCUGCAGCUUAUAUUAUCCUGGGCAUAAGUCUCAUUGCUCAAUUCUCUGCCAUUUAGAAGUUACAUCGAUUUUGUUUGUGUUUAUUCAGCCCUAGCCACACCUCUCCUGGCUGUCACUCACUCAGUCUGCAUGAAAACAAAAUGGUUUAACUUUCAAUCAGAUAUAAGUUACUUUAAAAGUUUUUAUCUCCUUGUGACUAACUCCCCAGUCCUCGUGAGUUUGCCACGAGUUCCUGGAGGAGCCUGCUUGCCAGCCUCCUGCCCACAGACUAUGGACCCUGUAAAAUGUGAUGUAAAAAUCUCAGUUUGUGUAUUUGGACUAUAUGGUUCGGGAACCUAGCAGCCGCACGAACCGGAGACCACCCUGGAGCUUGUUAAGCCUAAUUGCUACUUUGUACACAAUAACCUGGCUUGUAUUCAGCUCAUUGGAAAAAUCUCAAAGCCAAGGAGGUGGUCAUAACAUACCCUGCUUACUAAUUCAUCGUGAUUAGGGGAAGCAUAGGGGAAGGCGACUGCACUGUAACAAGCCUGUGAAAUGCAAGAGCAAUUAUUUAAAAGCACAUUUUACUUAAAUAUAUGGUGGUUCAGCGUUGUUUUGGUUAAAUGAGACAAGGCUGCUAGUUAUAAUGUCCACCUUUUAUCUUACACUGUCAAAUAUUAGUAUUAAUACACAGAAAUGUGUUAUUGUGUUUAGAUCAUGUGAUGAUGAUGUAACAUGGCCGCCAGUUUGAAUUGUAUUGUACCUAUAUAAGGAGUGUUGGUCCAGCUUGCUGUAACACUUUGAAAAAGCCACAUUUGGAGAAAUGCGUUAGUUACUUUUUGCUUUAUAUUUUAUUGUUUUGUGUAGCUUAUUGUGUAUCAGAAUAAAGUUAAUCUAUUUAAGACACUCUGGACCCUUCUGCUUCUACCCACUACCUGUUGGACGUCACUUUUUCUUGGUGGGGAUAUACCAUCUAAGCUGUUUGGAUUGAGAAAAACAUAUUUUAAGCUCUUUCAUUUCAUUUGCACUAAAUAAUAUCACAGUAUUCACUAUACUUUUGAUUUCUGUUUUGUUGCAUAUUAUGCAUACCAAGAGGACUUCCACUCAUCAGCUAUCUGAGGAGUGGCCAGUGGAGGUAUCUCUAGGCUGUAAUGUAAACACUGCAUUUUCUUUGACAGACAGUGCUUACAGCAAAAAGCCUGAAGGUAAUGAUUCUACUCACCAGAACAAAUUCAAUACGCUGUAGUUGUUCUGGUGACUAUAGUGUCCAUUUAUUUUAAAAUACAAACCAAAGAGCUGACUUGGAGAACAUUUUCAAUUUUGUCAAUUUUGUCAAUUUUGUCUAAUAUUUGAAAUCCAUUUUGCAAC
This 1701-nucleotide long non-coding RNA is filed under the name Pelobates cultripes (western spadefoot toad). The record is from RNAcentral. Lineage: Eukaryota; Metazoa; Chordata; Amphibia; Anura; Pelobatidae.